RNAcentral lists this unclassified non-coding RNA (190 nucleotides) under Glomeromycetes sp. Its description in RNAcentral is "partial contains 5.8S ribosomal RNA and internal transcribed spacer 2". The stretch from base 1 to 65 matches the Rfam family "5.8S ribosomal RNA", at positions 84 to 154 of the family's 154-position model. Lineage: Eukaryota; Fungi; Glomeromycota; Glomeromycetes. The record is from RNAcentral.
GUGAAUCAUCGAAUUUUUGAACGCAAAUUGCACUCUUUUCGGAGAGUAUGCCUGCUUGAGGGUCAGUAUCAAUAAAAAUCGGUGUGUUGCUUUUUUGUUACGCCCCGGAGUUCGGGUCAUCUUCCUAUCCUUUAGGUUUUAAGAGGCUUAGCAUUGACUUUCUUCGCGCAUAUUAGCUGUACAUCAAUUC